Molecule: long non-coding RNA, 1500 nt
Organism: Sitodiplosis mosellana (orange wheat blossom midge)
Lineage: Eukaryota; Metazoa; Arthropoda; Insecta; Diptera; Cecidomyiidae
Exons: 4
Source: RefSeq, a predicted model, not a curated record
CCGAGAACACAUUUGGCGUUGUAAACACCAAGUCAACAAAUCAAUCGUACAUUUCAUUACAAUAUAAACUACAGCAGUUACAUAAUUCUGUUGCGUGACGUGGUAAAGUUCAUUUCAAGCGGUGAUACCCAAUAUGAAUUGGUUCCAUUGUUCAGAGAUGAAGACAAACAGUUAAUCACUUCUCUAAAUCACUGCCAUUGUUAUCAAUUCGAAGAUUUUUGUCACUUUUGUGUGUUGCAUCAGUGUGUAUACCAAAAAAGGGGGUUAAAUUCUCGUUCUGUUUUCGUUCGAACCAAUUAAAUUUAAGUUUCAAUAUUAUUCAUUUUUAAACUAAAUCGAAUGUGUGUUUUUUUUCUUUCAGUAGGAAAAUGGCGAAUCGUUUCAAGCCAUCCAUUCCAGCGAAGGGAGAAACGAAGGACGAAGAAAUUACGACGAUCAAAUCUGUAAGCAUUGAUGAGCAAGAUGUAUGCAUCGAUUCGAAAACAAGAGAAAAGACGCCAGAUUCAAGAGAUGCCGUUGCGUACCCGACGCCAAAACAUUGCUGCCAAAAAAAUUGUGUCAAAUGAUGUCUACUCGCUGUGUGUUACAUUUCCUGAGCCGAUGGUCGAUGAGCUGUACAAUGAAAUGAAGUAAUUGCUGGAGUCACAGUGCAUAAUUUGCUUGCAAAAAAAGUUGCACCAUCGGAAAAUGACAAUGCAAACGAUACGUUGCUGCAGCAUUACUAUGCCGCUUGGAUUGAAUACAGUGAGGGUGUGGAAUACCUAAAUUUUUUGUACAUGUAUUUGAAUCAGCAGCAUAUUAAACGUAACGAACACACGGCCGAAGUGGAGUUCACGUACGGUCAAUUGGGUACUGAAAAUCAAGAGCUCAACGAAAUCGGCGAAUUGGAACUGGAUGUUUGGUGCAGCGCCUGUCCGAACGGGAGUGCUGGGAGUGCGGCGCACCAGGGCGCGGAGGCGCCGAAGGCGCCCGAGCGCCUAUUGAAGAAACAUCUUUUUAACAAACGCGAGCCCUUCGGCGCUCGAGCGCUUUGUGUUAGGAAUUGCUUUGAAAAAAAGGGCGCGUGAGAGCGCCGAAGGCGCUCGAGCGCUUUAUUUUGGGAGUGUUUUUUAGAAAAAGGCGCGCGAGGGCGAAGGGAGCUGUUUUUCGAAAAAUAUAUUUUCAGCAGACCGCUCCAUAUAAAAAAUAUUAAUUAGCAAUGCAUUUCUUCGAGAACAAUAUGAAUACACUCUCUAUUAUAUUUUGUGUUCUGUUUAUCAAGUGAGUAGCAAUAUGAACAGAGCGGAGUCACUGAGUUUUAUCACGGUAAAUUUAUUUAUUUAUUCAUUUAACACCGCCAAAAACUGGCUGAAUAUUUUGGUUUGCAGGAAAACGACUCCAAGAGUCGUGAAAAACCUGAUCUUUUUGUGUUUGUACAAUAUAUGGUAAUUUUAUACAAUAAGUAGUUGUAAGUAAUAGUCUUUUUCUAUUGGUAUAACAACUUGGUCUAAAAAGCAUUGA